CUGAAUCGAAAAAUCUCUCCGUCACCACGUGAACACCUACACAACACGCAAACAUAAACGCGUGUGCGUGUGUUGUCACCCUCAAAGAAGGAGCGCCGUCCAACCGCGUUGCCGACUGCCCUCUGCAUCCAUGUCUCUUCGUCUGCUCGCCGGUGCACGCGUGCGCGCACCAGUGCUGAUGGCGCCGAGAACGGUGCGCCGCCGCGCGAGAAGCGUACGUCGCACUGGCCUCUCACAGCGAGUCCGCUCGCCUUGCCACACCAUCUUCCAUGCGCCGGCUACAUCAGCUGUCGCCAUGCACGUCUCGCCGCUCACGGCGCCGCGUCGGGCACAGAGCUCGCUGCAGAAGCUGCUGGAUGACCCCAAUGACCCGUAUCUUGCUGCCCUUCAGCAGUUCGACAUCCUUCGUAUCGCUGACAUUGUCGCGGAGGGCCCUGCCAAGUCUGGCGUGCCCGCCGCCUUCCUGCGACGAGCUGCCCUUCGCGUGGACACCGACGGCUUUGCCGCUGCUCGAGCCCAGCUAGCGUCACCCACACCCCUCACGCAGCGUCCCGCACAGUCGUCUGGGGAGGCGGUGCUGCAGUCACUGCACGCGGCUGGGAUAAUGCAUCGGAACAAGACCGAGGCUGUCGCUGCAGCCGAGCUCAAGUCGGCGCAGGCGGCUUACGAUGCCCUCCCGCAAGAGGAGAAGACUGCACUGCAGAUGGAGCGCGUUGUGUCGCACCUCUUCGACGGUCUCUGCGCGAUGAGCGCCGCCAUGCGGAUGCAGGCGGAGGAGGGCGCCGCCUCCGUCGAGGAGCGUGACGCGGCUUUCAGCAUCUACGAGCGUAUCUUGUCCGCCUACCGGGAUGGCGUCAUCACAGCAGAUAGCUGGAGUGCCGACUUUUUGCCGGAGCUUGAGGAGCUGCAAGUGAUUUGGCAGCACCUCAGCGAUCCUCGCGCGAUGCCGCUGGAGAAGUAAGUUUAAUACAUGUGUGUGUGUGCGCGCGUCUGCCUACGUGUGAGAGAGCUGGAUGUUGGAGAGUGCUAAGCACACACUCUCUGCGUGCAAGCGCCGAGCACCUUCUUUUCCUCCUCUUCUCCGGCGAGAUGGUAGUCGACUGUUGCAUUGUUUUCAUCUGGCAACGUUGCCAUGCCAACUCGCCCCUCCCGGACGACGGUGGCGCUGGCAUGCCAAUAUCGCGAUCAAGUCGUUCAGCGCCACCUACCACAGCACAGAGCAACACGUGGACAGCGA
Molecule: unclassified non-coding RNA, 1237 nt
Filed under: Leishmania donovani
Lineage: Eukaryota; Euglenozoa; Kinetoplastea; Trypanosomatida; Trypanosomatidae
Description: gene:LdHU3.17.0920(CDS-product:hypothetical_prote in_conserved)
Source: RNAcentral